GGUUAAGUGACUAAGCGUACAUGGUGGAUGCCUUGGCAGUCAGAGGCGAUGAAGGACGUACUAACCUGCGAUAAGCCGUGAGCAGUCGGUAAGAGACAUUACGACUCACGGAUUUCCGAAUGGGGAAACCCACUUAGCAUAAGCUAGGUAUCGCUACGUGAAUACAUAGCGUAGCGAGGCGAACCGGGAGAACUGAAACAUCUAAGUACCCCGAGGAAAAGAAAUCAACCGAGAUUCCCUCAGUAGCGGCGAGCGAACGGGGAUUAGCCCUUAAGCAUCUUGGAAGUUAGUGGAACGGUCCUGGAAAGGCCGGCGAUACAGGGUGAUAGCCCCGUACACGAAAACAACCUUGAUGUGAAAUCGAGUAGGGCGGGACACGUGACAUCCUGUCUGAAUAUGGGGGGACCAUCCUCCAAGGCUAAAUACUCCUGACUGACCGAUAGUGAACCAGUACCGUGAGGGAAAGGCGAAAAGAACCCCUGUGAGGGGAGUGAAAUAGAACCUGAAACCGUGUACGUACAAGCAGUGGGAGCCCUUCGGGGUGACUGCGUACCUUUUGUAUAAUGGGUCAGCGACUUACAUUUUGUAGCGAGGUUAACCGUAUAGGGGAGCCGUAGGGAAACCGAGUCUUAACUGGGCGUCUAGUUGCAAGGUGUAGACCCGAAACCGGGUGAUCUAGCCAUGGGCAGGUUGAAGGUUGAGUAACAUCAACUGGAGGACCGAACCCACUAACGUUGCAAAGUUAGGGGAUGACCUGUGGCUGGGGGUGAAAGGCCAAUCAAACUCGGAGAUAGCUGGUUCUCCCCGAAAGCUAUUUAGGUAGCGCCUCGGACGAAUACUACUGGGGGUAGAGCACUGUUUGGGCUAGGGGGUCAUCCCGACUUACCAACCCCAUGCAAACUCCGAAUACCAGUAAGUAAUAUCCGGGAGACACACGGCGGGUGCUAACGUCCGUCGUGAAGAGGGAAACAACCCAGACCGCCGGCUAAGGUCCCAAAGUUCUGGUUAAGUGGGAAACGAUGUGGGAAGGCUCAGACAGCUAGGAUGUUGGCUUAGAAGCAGCCAUCAUUUAAAGAAAGCGUAAUAGCUCACUAGUCGAGUCGGCCUGCGCGGAAGAUGUAACGGGGCUCAAACCAGGCACCGAAGCCGCGGAUUCACGCUAAGCGUGAGUGGUAGGGGAGCGUUCUGUAAGUCUGCGAAGGUGUGUCGAGAGGCAUGCUGGAGAUAUCAGAAGUGCGAAUGCUGACGUAAGUAACGAUAAAGGGGGUGAAAAGCCUCCUCGCCGGAAGACCAAGGGUUCCUGUCCAACGUUAAUCGGGGCAGGGUGAGUCGACCCCUAAGGCGAGGCCGAAAGGCGUAGUCGAUGGGAAGCAGGUUAAUAUUCCUGCACGACUUGUAAUUGCGAUGGGGGGACGGAGAAGGCUAGGUGGGCCAGGCGACGGUUGUCCUGGUGAAAGUGCGUAGGUGGUGUUUCUAGGCAAAUCCGGAGACACAACACUGAGACACGAGACGAACACACUACGGUGUGGAAGCCAUUGAUGCCCUGCUUCCAGGAAAAGCCUCUAAGCUUCAGAUUACAAGUCAUCGUACCCCAAACCGACACAGGUGGUCGGGUAGAGAAUACCAAGGCGCUUGAGAGAACUCGGGUGAAGGAACUAGGCAAAAUAGAACCGUAACUUCGGGAGAAGGUUCGCUCUUGACAGUGAAGUCCCUUGCGGAUGGAGCAGUUGGGAGUCGCAGUGACCAGAUGGCUGGGACUGUUUAUCAAAAACACAGCACUCUGCAAACACGAAAGUGGACGUAUAGGGUGUGACACCUGCCCGGUGCCGGAAGGUUAAUUGAUGGGGUUAGCGCAAGCGAAGCUCUUGAUCGAAGCCCCGGUAAACGGCGGCCGUAACUAUAACGGUCCUAAGGUAGCGAAAUUCCUUGUCGGGUAAGUUCCGACCUGCACGAAUGGUGUAACCAUGGCCAUGCUGUCUCCACCCGAGACUCAGUGAAAUCGAAUUCGCCGUGAAGAUGCGGUGUACCCGCGGCUAGACGGAAAGACCCCGUGAACCUUUACUACAGCUUGGCACUGAACAUUGAACCUACAUGUGUAGGAUAGGUGGGAGGCUUUGAAGGCGUGACGCCAGUUGCGCUGGAGCCGUCCUUGAAAUACCACCCUUGUAUGUUUGAUGUUCUAACGCAGGCCCGUGAAUCCGGGUCGCGGACAGUGCCUGGUGGGUAGUUUGACUGGGGCGGUCUCCUCCCAAAGAGUAACGGAGGAGCACGAAGGUUGGCUAAUCCUGGUCGGACAUCAGGAGGUUAGUGCAAUGGCAUAAGCCAGCUUAACUGCGAGACGGACAGGUCGAGCAGGUACGAAAGUAGGUCAUAGUGAUCCGGUGGUUCUGAAUGGAAGGGCCAUCGCUCAACGGAUAAAAGGUACUCCGGGGAUAACAGGCUGAUACCGCCCAAGAGUUCAUAUCGACGGCGGUGUUUGGCACCUCGAUGUCGGCUCAUCACAUCCUGGGGCUGAAGUCGGUCCCAAGGGUAUGGCUGUUCGCCAUUUAAAGUGGUACGCGAGCUGGGUUCAGAACGUCGUGAGACAGUUCGGUCCCUAUCUGCCGUGGGCGUUGGAUGAUUGAAGGGAGUUGCUCCUAGUACGAGAGGACCGGAGUGAACGAACCUCUGGUGUUCGGGUUGUCACGCCAGUGGCACUGCCCGGUAGCUAAGUUCGGAAUCGAUAACCGCUGAAAGCAUCUAAGCGGGAAGCGAGCCCUGAGAUGAGUCAUCCCUGACCCCUUGAGGGUCCUAAAGGGCCGUUGGAGACCACAACGUUGAUAGGUGGGGUGUGUAAGCGCGGCGACGUGUUGAGCUAACCCAUACUAAUUACCCGUGAGGCUUAACCAU
Molecule: ribosomal RNA, 2889 nt
Filed under: Aeromonas hydrophila
Lineage: Bacteria; Pseudomonadati; Pseudomonadota; Gammaproteobacteria; Aeromonadales; Aeromonadaceae
Description: 23S ribosomal RNA
Rfam family: Bacterial large subunit ribosomal RNA
Source: RNAcentral